RNAcentral lists this ribosomal RNA (511 nucleotides) under uncultured bacterium. RNAcentral's name for it is "bacterial SSU rRNA". It matches the Rfam family "Bacterial small subunit ribosomal RNA", at positions 15 to 518 of the family's 1533-position model. The record is from RNAcentral.
GAUCCUGGCUCAGGAUGAACGCUAGCUACAGGCUUAACACAUGCAAGUCGAGGGGCAGCAUUGGAGUAGCAAUACUUCAGAUGGCGACCGGCGCACGGGUGAGUAACACGUAUCCAACCUGCCGCUUACUCGGGGAUAGCCUUUCGAAAGAAAGAUUAAUACCCGAUGGUAUAAAGAGUUCGCAUGUUCUCUUUAUUAAAGAAUUUCGGUAAGCGAUGGGGAUGCGUUCCAUUAGAUAGUUGGCGGGGUAACGGCCCACCAAGUCUACGAUGGAUAGGGGUUCUGAGAGGAAGGUCCCCCACAUUGGAACUGAGACACGGUCCAAACUCCUACGGGAGGCAGCAGUGAGGAAUAUUGGUCAAUGGACGAGAGUCUGAACCAGCCAAGUAGCGUGAAGGAUGACUGCCCUAUGGGUUGUAAACUUCUUUUAUAAGGGAAUAAAGUGAGGGACGUGUCCCUUUUUGUAUGUACCUUAUGAAUAAGGAUCGGCUAACUCCGUGCCAGCAGCCGC